GGCAGGGCAGGGCAGGGCAGGGCAGCGGAGCGGAGCGGAGCGGAGCGGAGCGGAGGCCUGGCCUG
This 65-nucleotide microRNA precursor is filed under the name Pelodiscus sinensis (Chinese soft-shelled turtle). RNAcentral's name for it is "miRNA (ENSPSIG00000019865.1)". The record is from RNAcentral. Lineage: Eukaryota; Metazoa; Chordata; Testudines; Trionychidae.